RNAcentral lists this ribosomal RNA (2062 nucleotides) under Triticum aestivum (bread wheat). RNAcentral describes it as "partial small subunit ribosomal RNA". Lineage: Eukaryota; Viridiplantae; Streptophyta; Magnoliopsida; Poales; Poaceae. The record is from RNAcentral.
UUAUACUUGGUUUUAGUAGUGCACAAAUACAACGAACUUAUAAAGUCUGACCCAUUCUUCGUUGAUGUACGGCAAGUAUCGUUAAGAUCUACCAGUGUCGAUUUUACUAUCGAACCGAUACAUCUGAUGAAGUUCUUAGAGAGACUGGCGGUGACAACAAAUAUUUGAUGUCUCCGAGUGACGGGAUAUGUGUUGAGAAAGUCCAACAAGUCGGAGCGGAUUAGAUUAUCUUAGAAAAAUAUAUUACAAAACCGGUCUUAAUGAUAUAUCCUCAUACUAAUGUCUCCGAGUCACAGGAUAUGUGUUGAGGAAGUCCAACAAGGGCGUUUUUUUUGAGAAAAGUCCAACAACUUGGAGCGGAUUAGAUUAUCUUAGAAAAACUUAAUACAAAACCGGUUUUAAUGAUAUAUCCUCAUACUAAAUAGAAACGGAGAAAGCAUGUGUAAGGAAGACGUACUCUUAAGUCCUCCAGUUUAUGACUGUAUUUAGCCUUACCACUGUACGAUGAAGAAAUGUUCAUCCCAUGUUUGCCAUUCUUUCGAGAAUCUUUAACAAUUUGAAUAAUCGGGCACUAUUGAAUUAUGGACUGUUUCUCCAACGACUCGAGUCAGAAUUUUUAUCUUUCUCAAUCCCACCAUGACGGGUCAGAGAUAAAACAAAAGUCAUCACUUCGAUGGUGAUAAACAACAAAAUUCACACCUUUGAGAUAAAAAAGGGGUUGUGUAUAAAAGAAAUAAUAAUAUAAAAAUAAAACAGGGUUUAUGAUGAACUAAGUAUAAAGAACGAAAGGUAACAAACAUUAUACUUGGUUUUAGCAGUGCACAAAUACAACGAACUUAUAAAGUCUGGCCCAAUCUUCGUUUUGAUGUACGACAAGUAUCAUUAAGAUCUACCAGUGUCGAUUUUACUAUCGAACCGACACAUCUCAUGAAGUUCUUAGAGUGACUGGCGGUGACAACAAAUAUUUGAUGUCUCCGAGUGACGGGAUAUGUGUAGAGAAAGUCCAACAACUCGGAGCGGAUUAGAUUAUCUUAGAAAAAUAUAUUACAAAACCGGUCUUAAUGAUAUAUCCUCAUACUAAAUAGAAACAUAGAAAGAAUGCGUAAGGAAGACGUACUCUUAACUUUUCCACUUUGUACCCUGAAGAAAUGUUUGUCCCAUGUUUGACGCUCUUUCGAGAAUCUUUAACCAUUUGAAUAAUCAGGCACUAUAAUAUUAUGGACUGUUUCUCCAACGACUCGAGUCAGAAUUUUUACCUUUCUCGGUACCCACCAUGACGGGUCAGAGACAAAGCACAAAUCAUCACUUCGAUGGUGAUGAUAAAAUACAAAAGUCACAGUUUUGAGGUUAAAAAAGUUUAACAAUCGGUCUAGGAACUUGAUAAAACUGCUUGGAAAUCAUAGAUAAAACAUGCGAGUACGUCUAAAAGCGACCCAUGUCAACGUAGUGAUAUAUGCGACCCAUGUCAACGUAGUGUUAUACCAAUGGACAACUAUUACGAUGAUGUCUUUUAUACACUUGCGGUAGGCUCCUGUCUCUUCUCCGCGAUGCCUGAUCCCUAAUGUACGACCGAUGGUGGCUCCGUGGCUUACCUUUAUACUCUGUACCUAACUGUGCCUGUGUUCUCUUUCUUCUUUGUUUUUAUUUGUAAUAUCUGGUCUACUACUCUUGUUACCAAAGUGAGUCACGACGUACGAAUCGACUACCUUGUAUGAGGACAAUGUAUCGUCCGAUUCACUACAAGAUCUCAUGUGUACCUUUCACUGAACUACCUUCAGUUGUUGUACCAUUGUCCCACUAACCUAAAACACAAGAAAACGUUUCAAGUAAAUAUACUAGUAAAGUUUAGUCAAUCGUUACUGUAAGUUGCACCUUUCCUUCCUCUUUUUGAAUACUAAAGGUUCAUAUAUACUAAAGGUACGAAACGCAAUGAAAAAAAACCGAAAUUACCCAGGAUACUCACACGUAACCCUUUUUGAUAAAGUUAGAAUCACCGUUGUUCAAGGUUGUACAUAUUCAUAAUACACGAUUAUUGCGUGUUUUCAGGAGUUCAUAUAGUAGG